GACGAACGCUGGCGGCGUGCUUAACACAUGCAAGUCGAACGGAAAGGCCCUGCUUUUGUGGGGUGCUCGAGUGGCGAACGGGUGAGUAACACGUGAGUAACCUGCCCUUGACUUUGGGAUAACUUCAGGAAACUGGGGCUAAUACCGGAUAGGAGCUCCUGCUGCAUGGUGGGGUUUGGAAAGUUUCGGCGGUUGGGGAUGGACUCGCGGCUUAUCAGCUUGUUGGUGGGGUAGUGGCUUACCAAGGCUUUGACGGGUAGCCGGCCUGAGAGGGUGACCGGCCACAUUGGGACUGAGAUACGGCCCAGACUCCUACGGGAGGCAGCAGUGGGGAAUAUUGCACAAUGGGCGGAAGCCUGAUGCAGAAACGCCGCGUGCGGGAUGACGGCCUUCGGGUUGUAAACCGCUUUAGCCUGUGACGAAGCGUGAGUGACGGUAAUGGGUAAAGAAGCACCGGCUAACUACGUG
Molecule: ribosomal RNA, 468 nt
Filed under: uncultured bacterium
Lineage: Bacteria
Description: partial 16S ribosomal RNA
Rfam family: Bacterial small subunit ribosomal RNA
Source: RNAcentral